GAUGAACGCUAGCUACAGGCUUAACACAUGCAAGUCGAGGGGUAACGAGAGGAAAGCUUGCUUUCCUUGUCGACGACCGGCGCACGGGUGAGUAACGCGUAUCCAACCUGCCCCCAACUAGGGAAUAACCUUGCGAAAGUAAGACUAAUACCCUAUAAUUUCCUCAGAUGUCAUCUGACGAGGAAUAAAGAUUUAUCGGUUGUGGAUGGGGAUGCGUCUGAUUAGCUUGUUGGGGGGUAACGGCCCACCAAGGCAACGAUCAGUAGGGGUUCUGAGAGGAAGGUCCCCCACAUUGGAACUGAGACACGGUACAAACUCCUACGGGAGGCAGCAGUGAGGAAUAUUGGUCAAUGGGCGGAAGCCUGAACCAGCCAAGUAGCGUGCAGGAUGACGGCCCUAUGGGUUGUAAACUGCUUUUAUACAGGAAUAAAGUUAGCCACGUGUGGUUAUUUGUAGGUACUGUAUGAAUAAGGACCGGCUAAUUCCGUGCCAGCCGCCGCGGUAA
This 505-nucleotide ribosomal RNA is filed under the name uncultured bacterium. RNAcentral describes it as "partial 16S ribosomal RNA". It matches the Rfam family "Bacterial small subunit ribosomal RNA", at positions 28 to 523 of the family's 1533-position model. The record is from RNAcentral.